GACGAACGCUGGCGGCGUGCUUAACACAUGCGAGUCGAACGGAAAGGCCCUGCUUUUGUGGGGUGCUCGAGUGGCGAACGGGUGAGUAACACGUGAGUAACCUGCCCUUGACUUUGGGAUAACUUCAGGAAACUGGGGCUAAUACCGGAUAGGAGCUCCUGCUGCAUGGUGGGGGUUGGAAAGUUUCGGCGGUUGGGGAUGGACUCGCGGCUUAUCAGCUUGUUGGUGGGGUAGUGGCUUACCAAGGCUUUGACGGGUAGCCGGCCUGAGAGCGUGACCGGCCACAUUGGGACUGAGAUACGGCCCAGACUCCUACGGGAGGCAGCAGUGGGGAAUAUUGCACAAUGGGCGGAAGCCUGAUGCAGCAACGCCGCGUGCGGGAUGACGGCCUUCGGGUUGUAAACCGCUUUCGCCUGUGACGAAGCGUGAGUGACGGUAAUGGGUAAAGAAGCACCGGCUAACUACGUG
RNAcentral lists this ribosomal RNA (468 nucleotides) under uncultured bacterium. Its description in RNAcentral is "partial 16S ribosomal RNA". It matches the Rfam family "Bacterial small subunit ribosomal RNA", at positions 28 to 507 of the family's 1533-position model. The record is from RNAcentral.